Dama dama (fallow deer) is the source of this 107-nucleotide small nuclear RNA. Lineage: Eukaryota; Metazoa; Chordata; Mammalia; Artiodactyla; Cervidae. The record is from RefSeq and is a predicted model, not a curated record.
GUGCUUGUUUAGGCAGCACACAAACUGAAACUGGAAUGAUACAGAGAAGAUGAACAUGGCCCCUGUGCAAGGAUGGCAUGCAAAUUCAUGAAGCGAUUAAACAAUGU